Non-coding RNA from Lentinula raphanica, 85 nucleotides. The record is from the annotation of a GenBank genome assembly. NCBI's taxonomy places the organism in Eukaryota, Fungi, Basidiomycota, Agaricomycetes, Agaricales, Omphalotaceae.
GGGCACAUGGUGUAGUUGGUUAUCACAUCCGCUUAGCAGGUUCUGUUGUUGCGGGGGGUGCUGGGUUCAAUUCCCAGUGUGUCCA